Molecule: ribosomal RNA, 478 nt
Filed under: uncultured Flavobacterium sp.
Lineage: Bacteria; Pseudomonadati; Bacteroidota; Flavobacteriia; Flavobacteriales; Flavobacteriaceae
Description: bacterial SSU rRNA
Rfam family: Bacterial small subunit ribosomal RNA
Source: RNAcentral
AGAGUUUGAUCCUGGCUCAGGAUGAACGCUAGCGGCAGGCUUAACACAUGCAAGUCGAGGGGUAGGGUAGCAAUACCUGAGACCGGCGCACGGGUGCGUAACGCGUAUGCAAUCUACCUUGUACAGGGGGAUAGCCCAGAGAAAUUUGGAUUAAUACCCCAUAGUAUUUUCAAAUGGCAUCAUUUGAUUAUUAAAGUUCCAACGGUACAAGAUGAGCAUGCGUCCCAUUAGCUAGUUGGUGUGGUAACGGCAUACCAAGGCUACGAUGGGUAGGGGUCCUGAGAGGGAGAUCCCCCACACUGGUACUGAGACACGGACCAGACUCCUACGGGAGGCAGCAGUGAGGAAUAUUGGUCAAUGGACGCAAGUCUGAACCAGCCAUGCCGCGUGGAGGAUGAAGGUCCUCUGGAUUGUAAACUUCUUUUAUUUGGGACGAAAAAGGGUCUUUCUAGAUCAACUGACGGUACCAGAGAAUAGA